UGUGCCUGGGCUCACCUGGGCAGGGUGAUCACCCUGGUGGUGUCUUUCAGAAUGCUUUUGCAGCAGAGCUGGAAACCAAAACCUCAAGUGAAUUAUGCCUAAGAGAGUCUCCACAGGCAGGGAGCAAUGGAAACUUUGGAGAGAAUCAAAGGCUGCAGGAAUUCAAAGGUGUUUAAAGGACAGGGAGCUCUUGAUCUGAGCCACGAUCCUGAAUCCAUUUUCCCAAUGCCAAGUUGAGGAAACCAUUGAAGAUGUCACUCAAAGAACCAACAUGAUGAAGGUUGUCAAGAAUUAUUACCACAGGAAGGUCAGCACUACUGUUAUCAGCACUGCAUUGUUCAGCCAAAUUGGCAAGGUAUUGUUGCACAUCCUUAAAGAAAAGAAGGAAGAACCCAGUAAAACAAAAGGUGCUCAACUAACACCCUCACAGUUGCGAAGCUUCCACUAAAACGAAUUGUUGCUUAAACCAUUUUUGACAAUGUCAGCCUGAGGUACUUGCUCUGAGCAUUCUUCUCUUUUUUCCUUUUUUAAAAAUUGGUUUUCAGUAACAGGAUCCUAGUUAAGUCUAACCAUCUGAACCACAAGGGAGGAAACCUUACAAGACGUAUCACACCUAAGAGAGUUGGUUUCUGCUUGCCCCACCCUGACCUCUGUUCAUGCAGAAGAAGGUGUAAAAGGAGCUUCAUGCAGGGUUUCUGAGUGGAAGUGUCCCACACAUAGAGUUGUAUGUGUGUAGAACCCCCUUUUACAUACUUUGCUGAACAUGUGGUGGCUAGAGAUGGCCCAAGUUGGCGGAUUCCAAUUUCACCUUCCAUAAUACAACUGAAUGAGCAAUGGAAUUACUCAUUCACUUUCUAGGUAAGAUGGAAGAAUUUCUUCAAUCAAAGUAAUUCAUUUUCUCUAAAAAGCUGCAGGUUGUGAAUUAGGUGGGGCAUCAAAUACACAAUGUACGAGUGUGUUGGUUAAAUUUUUGAAGACAGAUUUUUUUUCAUGUACAUCAACACUGGCACAAUCUUUGUAACAUGACAGAAAGCAUGUAAAUGGUGGGAUGAUAAGCUUGAUAUUGCAAGUUUCUGACUGUGUCAUUUUUGAUCCACUGUGAAUACUGAAAAAUUUACAUAUUCUGAAUGGUUUUGAAUAAAUGUUGUUUUUAAAAAGAAAAAGAAAAAAGCAGAGAUUGGAGAUUUAACUUUCAAUAUGCUAACUGAUGCUGAUAAAACACCUUGAUUUAUUUGUAAGUAUUUGCAAUCACAAAUGGCUACUGUAUUUAGACUAUGCUGGGAAAUCCUAAAUAAAAAUAAAAAGAACAAAAGGAAACACCAGCAAUUACAUAAGUCCAUGGCAUGUAAUGAAACAUCUGCAGUUUCUUAAAAACUGUACAGUUGAUAGCUGUUGGUUCUUUUUAUGUCUUACCUUGCUUGAUUUGUGAUCUACAUUAAAAGUAGCAAUGGCAUCUUC
Podarcis muralis (Common wall lizard) is the source of this 1458-nucleotide long non-coding RNA. RefSeq lists it as uncharacterized. Lineage: Eukaryota; Metazoa; Chordata; Lepidosauria; Squamata; Lacertidae. The record is from RefSeq and is a predicted model, not a curated record.